GGGUCAGUAGGUUGGUCGUGCCACCGGUACGUACUGGUCUCACUGAUUCCUCCUUCCUGAAGAACCGUAAUACCAUUAAUUUGGUGUUGCGGGGAAACAGGACUGUUACUUUGAAAAAAUUAGAGUGUUUAAAGCAGGCUAACGCUUGAAUACAUUAGCAUGGAAUAAUGAAAUAGGACGAUCGAUCCUAUUUUGUUGGUUUCUAGGAUUGACGUA
RNAcentral lists this ribosomal RNA (216 nucleotides) under Glomeromycotina sp. Its description in RNAcentral is "partial small subunit ribosomal RNA". The stretch from base 40 to 216 matches the Rfam family "Eukaryotic small subunit ribosomal RNA", at positions 686 to 864 of the family's 1831-position model. The record is from RNAcentral. Lineage: Eukaryota; Fungi; Glomeromycota.